This 215-nucleotide ribosomal RNA is filed under the name Monacon robertsi. RNAcentral's name for it is "partial 28S ribosomal RNA". It matches the Rfam family "Eukaryotic large subunit ribosomal RNA", at positions 967 to 1163 of the family's 3401-position model. The record is from RNAcentral. Lineage: Eukaryota; Metazoa; Arthropoda; Insecta; Hymenoptera; Perilampidae.
UUUCCCUCAGGAUAGCUGGCACUCGCUCGAACGAGUCUCAUCUGGUAAAGCGAAUGAUUAGAGGCCUUGGGGCCGAAACGACCUCAACCUAUUCUCAAACUUUAAAUGGGUGAGAUCUCUGGCUUGCUUGAAUGUUGAAGCCACGAGAUAGCAUUUAAGAAUGGAUCAGAGUGCCAAGUGGGCCAAUUUUGGUAAGCAGAACUGGCGCUGUGGGA